GCCCUCGUAGCUCAAUGGAUAGAGUACAUGGCUUCGAACCAUGGGAUUGAGGUCCGAUUCCUCACGAGGGCA
This 72-nucleotide transfer RNA is filed under the name bacterium. Its description in RNAcentral is "tRNA-Arg". It matches the Rfam family "tRNA". Rfam says of the family: Transfer RNA (tRNA) molecules are approximately 80 nucleotides in length. Their secondary structure includes four short double-helical elements and three loops (D, anti-codon, and T loops). RNAcentral also lists the same sequence under 2 other names. The record is from RNAcentral.